This 440-nucleotide ribosomal RNA is filed under the name uncultured bacterium. RNAcentral's name for it is "partial 16S ribosomal RNA". It matches the Rfam family "Bacterial small subunit ribosomal RNA", at positions 338 to 795 of the family's 1533-position model. The record is from RNAcentral.
CCUACGGGAGGCAGCAGUGGGGAAUAUUGCACAAUGGGGGAAACCCUGAUGCAGCGACGCCGCGUGAGUGAAGAAGUAAUUCGUUAUGUAAAGCUCUAUCAGCAGGGAAGAAAAUGACGGUACCUGAGUAAGAAGCCCCGGCUAACUACGUGCCAGGCGCCGCGGUAAUACGUAGGGGGCAAGCGUUAUCCGGAUUUACUGGGUGUAAAGGGAGCGUAGACGGCAGUGCAAGUCUGGAGUGAAAGGCGGGGGCUCAACCCCCGGACUGCUCUUGAAACUGUACGGCUGGAGUGCAGGAGAGGUAAGUGGAAUUCCUAGUGGAGCGGUGAAAUGCGGAGAUAUUAGGAGGAACACCAGUGGCGAAGGCGGCUUACUGGACUGUAACUGACGUUGAGGCUCGAAAGCGUGGGGAGCAAACAGGAUUAGAUACCCUUGUAGUC